This is a long non-coding RNA of Gallus gallus (chicken), 1557 nucleotides long. RefSeq lists it as uncharacterized. The record is from RefSeq and is a predicted model, not a curated record. The transcript is spliced from 6 exons. NCBI's taxonomy places the organism in Eukaryota, Metazoa, Chordata, Aves, Galliformes, Phasianidae.
GGGACCCCGGCUCGGCUGCUCGUCACUCCGGAGGGAAUUCGCGUUGACGCUUAGGGUUUCUGCCCGGAUUCCCUGCGAGGGAUGGGGCUGAAAGGGUAGCCGAGUCCUGGAGCAAGAUAAGGAGAGGAUUCGGUGAGGAAGUUGUUGUUGAGGUAAUACUAGUUUCACCAAAUUCUUGAAUGACAAGUCCAUCUUUGGUUAUUAGACAUGAUGGUUUGCGGGUCAUCACUGGCGCAUGACUUGACGAGGCUGUUAAUACAUCAAAGCUGGGAGACUUUUUAUUUCCCACAAGACCACAAGUGAAUGUUUUAGUAGCCACUGAACAGCAGAUUUUAUGGACAAGCUUCUCUUCUGCUGUCUGCUGAGAAACAAGGCAUACUAAGGGCAGGUGUAAAGUCACUGUGAAGGAGUGGCUUUGAACCAGAAGCUACAUAUGAAAUUUCAGAAGAACAUGCAGUCACCUCCCAGCAUCAAGCUACUGCCUGUCCCCAUCCUGUACAAAAACAGAUCAUGAUGCCACAGGGCACAUCUAGAGAUUUCCUCACUGAGUGAGAAUGUGAGCUGAGACAUGAUAAGCCAGCAGCCUCCUCUUCCAGCUCCUCAUCUUGAACCUGCUCAUUUUAUCAUCCAUCAGAGAAAGCAGAUAAAAAGGUUUUCAUUUCAGAAGCACAUACACAGGAAUCCUAGAAAAUGUGCAAAAGUUCUUAAAUUCUGCCCAGACAAAAUUUCCAGACAGAAGAAGAAAACCCAGACAAAUGGUUGCCCUAACUAUAUCUAAUAACAACCUACUUCACAUUUACGUUCUAAAGGGCCCUCCACAUAAAUGAGUCAAAUCUCAUGGCCGCUGGGUGCAGGAAAUCCAAGGACGUUAUUAAGAGAAGAUACUGAGUCAUUUUUUUUUGCUAAAUAACUCCUCAGCUUGUGGCUUUAUCUAGACUUACAACUGCAGCAGUUACCACGCAUGUCAUGGUUCUACAUCCACCAUUUAUGAUGUCAACAUUGGUGCUGCUGAAUGGACAGAUGGCCAGUAAGGAUAAAAAUUAAAAAAGCUGCAACAACAGGAGCAGGGUGUCUGUGUGCCCGGCCUUCUCUGACAUCCCAAGGAUGCUCUGGCAUUGCACCACCCUUCUCUCCAAGCUGCAACUCACAGCCAUCCUGCAGAACCACUUGCUGCCAGAGCCCAGAACCCACACCCGAAUAUCCACAGCUUGCAAACAAACACAACCACAUGAUAGUAAGAUGUUCUGCAGGUAGGCCACAGACUUUGAAGCAGUUACGACAGCACUGACAUCUGAACCCAACUGGCAGGACUCUGACCUCCAAGUGCAAUAGUCCUGGUGUCACGAUGGCUGUGGCAAUCCUUCUAGACAUGCUCAACAUAUGUUUAUAAUCACAUGCUGUAACCACUUCUGUUGCUAUUUGCAAACCCAUUGUUUCUAAGUGCUAGAAAAACAAAAAGCAGAAUUGUUUUAGGGGUAAAACUGACUAAUGAUCUUACUGUGAACAAGAAGGAUUUCAAAUAAAAAAAAAAAUGGGAAUCUGAAAAUGUAAUCAUGC